UUCACUUAUCCGAUUCUGAAACAUUUGCAUAUAUCGCGCCUUCUUGGUUAACUUCCACAAUGCCCACUUGUCUUCUGAGCGUUGCCAAUUUAGCAAUUUUGUCGCUAUAUUAAGCGAGUUUUCAGACCCCUCCAGCGACUUUAUUGGUGAAAGAUUCUAGCGACAAAAAUUCUGAUUUUCUUUUUCAGGCUGCCUUUGGGGUUGACACAGAGGGUGUCUAUGAUUUUGAUAGCAUUUAGAGACUUUUCACACUCAAUUAUGCCGCAAACAACAGUGGGUGACGGUGCAGGCUACUUGUGUAACAUUAUUCACAUCAACGACGCACUCACAUGCCGCGUUCACGUACUAGUUUGAAACGAGGAAACUGACAUUUCCUGGUUGCACGCGUGUAUAACUUCAACCUAUUAGCAAAUCGGACCUUUCCGAGUUUCUUAGUUCCAACUAGGACUUGAAUGCGGCAAAUAAUCAGAGAGGCACAACGUGCGGCGGAAGAGGGCGAAAACGCGACGUGGGGACCGCAGUUGUGCCGCAUCAAGCCAAAUUCGUGAUGUGACGCCGUCGCGGAAACGGUAAAACGUAAUCUAGCGUCUUCUAGCGACAAAAUCAAGGAGCCAAUAGCUGUAAUCACUGAAAACCAGUCGGCAACACUGCACGGUGUCAACGUGCUUUUCAUGGUAGGAUCGCGUAGUAAACAGAGGCAGAGGUCGGAGUGGAGCUCAUUACUACUGAAGACAUCUAUGCACAUUUCACAAGGAAUCGCUGUUCGUUGAAUGAAGCUUUACCGACGAGAAAAUAAUAUGCAGACGUCUAGAUGAUUAUGCUGCUGGUUUGCAAAUCUAGGACAACGUGAUCUCGAGGAACAAUAAAUCAGCUAAUUUUUAUCCAUGGUGUUUGCAAGUUGUAAAGAGAUGGAUGGUAUCGGGAACACAAUGCAGAAGAAGGCUGCGGAGCUCGAGCGCAUGGCCGAGGUUCUCGUCACCGGAGAGCAGUUGAGG
Molecule: long non-coding RNA, 995 nt
Organism: Oncorhynchus keta (chum salmon)
Lineage: Eukaryota; Metazoa; Chordata; Actinopteri; Salmoniformes; Salmonidae
Exons: 3
Source: RefSeq, a predicted model, not a curated record